AAUUUGUUAUUACAGUUAACUACAAGUUCAGCAAUGCAUUAUAAUGUUUUUUUUUCUCUCUACAUGUACGGAUUAGCUAGUCUUGCUUUGAAUUUACGCAAUAUUUUGUAUUUGGGAUUUUGUUGCUUGGAUAUGUAUUUUGUUAUUUUUUUUGGAAUAGAUUGUGGGUUUAAAGUGAGGAGGAUCAAGGGUGUGGACUGGAUCAAUCCACUGAAGGGAUUAAUUCAUGUGAUGAGGUUGAAGUUACACCAGCGGAUUAGGAAAGUAACUUUCACGAAGGAAUGUAGUUUAUUUAUACUCUCGAAAAGGCUAUCAAGUUAUUGGGAAUGAAUUUGUUAGCCUAAAUUUGUUGGUUUUUAGUGUUGAGUUAACUAAUAUGGGCAAUGCUAAUUGUUUUCCCUUGGUUCUUUUGGGGUAUAUGGUAAACUUUGGUUAGGAGAAGGCACUUGUGCUGGUAAUCAGGGGAAAUUUCUUCCUUUGCUUUAUGAACUCUAAAGCUAAAUUGUAGUUACUGACACUCUAUUUCUAUUUUGUUGAAUUAGAAAUGAUAACAAAGUGAUAUCAAGAUGAAAGCAAAUUUCUUUGUUGAAAAUUGCUUGGUGCUGUUUUAUAGAUUUGUUGAAAGCUGUUAAUCCAGCUAAUCUUGAGGGAGCAUUACAAAACUAAGCAACUGGAAUCGUCCUCACAUGGCAGGGCAGAAAGUGAUGGCGUAACGUGAAACCUUGCAUUUAC
Cucumis sativus (cucumber) is the source of this 732-nucleotide long non-coding RNA. RefSeq lists it as uncharacterized. The transcript has 2 exons. The record is from RefSeq and is a predicted model, not a curated record. Lineage: Eukaryota; Viridiplantae; Streptophyta; Magnoliopsida; Cucurbitales; Cucurbitaceae.